AUGAUGGUGGAUGAGAAGGGAAGGUGUGGGAGGUGCAGGGAGUGGCAGGAGCACUACUACUGGGAGCACAUGGAGGAUGUGAGCAAGAUCAGCUUCUCCAAGCUCAUGACAGGAGAUUUUCAGCAGCGCAUUAGCAUACCGGAGAAGAUUGCCAACAAUUUCAUCGGGAAGAUCGCCAAUGGAGGAUUCACCCUCAAAGCACCAAGCGGUGAGGAAUGGCGCGUUGGUGUCGAAAAGAUUGCCGAUAAGCGGUUCUUCAUGCCAGGAUGGGAGGAAUUUGCCAUGGCUCACGAACUGCAGGAGAACGAGCUCCUGCUCUUCAAAUGCAGUGGCAAUUGUUCCUUUGAUGUACUCAUCUUUGACGCGAGCGGCUGCGAGAAGGUUUCAUGUUUCUUUGCCAAUAAAAAGGGUAUCAAUAUGCGCAAACAGUUUGAUAACAUUGUGAGUCAACACGGACAAGAGCACUGCAUUUUGAGUGAUUCUGACGAUACUAGCAUGCCACUAUCGCAGCUGGUUCGGUCUACUCACAAGGCCUCCACUUCAAAGAAACCAAGGAAAGAGAAUGGAUCUCCAAACAGCAGCAACUAUUAUCUUAAGAACGAGGUGGAGCAAGAAGAGGAAAGUGAUGACGACCACACUGAAUCCAACAACUACUACUACUCAAGGAUUGCCAAUUGCCUGAGCGAAGAUGAACGAGAGGAAAUAUUCAGGCAGAUAUCAAUUCAGUCAGGCAACCCUGUAUAUGUGGUUGUCCUGCAGAAGGCUCACGUUCGCCCUGCAAACAACUUACUGAUCAUCUCCAGCAAAUUUGCAGCUGAUCAUCUUCAGGGGAGAUCAUAUGAGAUGCUGCUUCUCAGGCCAAACAGGAAAGAGAAAUGGUGUCUGAAGUACUACCACAGCAGGGUCACCCGAGGCUUCAACAGCCGGCGCUGGAACAAGUUUGUUCGUGAUAAUAUGCUGCGCGAGGGCUACGUCUGCAUCUUCGAGCUGAUGAAAGGCGCGAGGAAGGCGACGAUGACGGUCCACGUCCUUCGGAAGGUGGACGACAAGUUUGUUCUACUGGGCUAA
Molecule: ribosomal RNA, 1068 nt
Filed under: Triticum aestivum (bread wheat)
Lineage: Eukaryota; Viridiplantae; Streptophyta; Magnoliopsida; Poales; Poaceae
Description: partial small subunit ribosomal RNA
Source: RNAcentral